CCUACGGGGGGCAGCAGUGGGGAAUAUUGCACAAUGGGCGCAAGCCUGAUGCAGCAACGCCGUGUGAGUGAAGAAGGCCUUCGGGUCGUAAAACUCUGUCCUAUGGGAAGAAAAAAAUGACGGUACCAUAGGAGGAAGCCCCGGCUAACUACGUGCCAGCAGCCGCGGUAAUACGUAGGGGGCAAGCGUUAUCCGGAAUCACUGGGCGUAAAGGGUGCGUAGGCGGCUAAGCAAGCCAGGGGUGAAAGGCAUUGGCUCAACCAAUGUAAGCCUUUGGAACUGUUUGGCUUGAGUGCAGGAGAGGUAAGUGGAAUUCCUAGUGUAGAGGUGAAAUUCGUAGAUAUUAGGAGGAACACCAGUGGCGAAGGCGACUUACUGGACUGUAACUGACGCUGAGGCACGAAAGCGUGGGUAGCGAACAGGAUUAGAUACCCCCGUAGUC
This 442-nucleotide ribosomal RNA is filed under the name uncultured bacterium. Its description in RNAcentral is "bacterial SSU rRNA". It matches the Rfam family "Bacterial small subunit ribosomal RNA", at positions 338 to 795 of the family's 1533-position model. The record is from RNAcentral.